GUGCCUGCUUCAGCAGCAUAUACACUAAAAGUUGGAACAAUACACAGAAGAUUAACACGACCCCCUGCACAGAGAUUACAUGCAAAUUCAUGAAGCAUUCCAUAUUUUU
This is a small nuclear RNA of Mustela putorius furo (domestic ferret), 109 nucleotides long. The record is from Ensembl. Lineage: Eukaryota; Metazoa; Chordata; Mammalia; Carnivora; Mustelidae.